AAAUUGUCUUUGUUUGACAUGGACAUGAGGAAAUCAAGAAUUAUGCCAUGGACUCGACAGCUUUCCACCUCACCGAACUUAUUUAUCUCCCCUGGUUGGAUCAGGUUCCGGCUGAUGAGCUCGUUAAAACACCUCUCUGCUGAUUCAUAUAGGGUGUGCCCAUGCUCUUCAGGAAUGAACCCCUCGGCAAUCCAUCUCAUUACCAAACGUUCCUUCUUGAUAGCAUAACCUUCUGGGAAUACACUGAGGUAA
RNAcentral lists this ribosomal RNA (252 nucleotides) under Triticum aestivum (bread wheat). RNAcentral describes it as "partial small subunit ribosomal RNA". The record is from RNAcentral. Lineage: Eukaryota; Viridiplantae; Streptophyta; Magnoliopsida; Poales; Poaceae.